GGGCCGGGACAAAGCCUGGGCCGGGCCUGCGCUUCCGUUCGCUUGACUGGCUGCGCUUGUUUUCAGGGUUUUGGUCUGAAAACGGAUCUUACCUGCGCAGAGCAAAAUCGGUUGUAGAUUAUAUCCACGAAAAUUCCUUCUAUUAAAAUGAAUUUCAAGUCCCACCUACCCUGGAAGCAGAAAGAGAGAGAAGAGAGAGAGUAAAGAGAAAGAGAAAAGAAAGAGAAGUUGAAAAAGAGAAAGAAAACCAAGAAAGAAAGAGAAAAAAACCGAAAAUAAAUGGACAAGAAAGAAAAAGAUGUAGUCUGGUUUUGUUGCCCAGGCUGGUCUCCAGCUUCUAGCCUCAAGCAGUCUUCCCAUCUGCUCCUACCAAAGUGCUCGGAUUAUAGGCAUGAAUCACCUUGCAUGGGAGAUAAGGACCCCCACAUCAAGCCCUCAGGUCACUGGGAUCCUGGACUACGGCACUGCUCCAGGCAGGCCUGGUUAUCCUGCUUGAGGCAGCAAUCCUCUUGAGCCUAGUGAAAUGCAACUGGCUGUACCUCAAUGAUGUUGCCCUGAGAUUCUGCCAGUCGAGGCCAACGUGCCAUGCAUCCCUGGAGCAUGAAACCCAGGAUGGGCCGCCUUCCAGCCUCCCACAGCUGUGAUGCAAGUUGAACACAUACAGAGAGACUGCAUCUGCACUGGGUGGUUUUCCUGAGCCUUGGGGAGCAGAAUGCAUGAAUCCCAGAUGGAGGAAGUGGACCAUGAGUCAAAGGAUGUAAGUGGCCUCUGGAACCUACAAAGGGCUCAUAAACAGAAGAGACUUGCUUGUCUCAGAUGAAACUUUGGACUGUGGACUUUUGAGUUAAUGCUGAAAUAAGACUUUGGGGGACUGUUGGGGAGGCAUGAUUGGUUUUGAAAUGUGAGGACAUGAGAUUUGGGAGGGACCAGGGGCAAAAUGAUAUGGUUUGGCUGUGUCCCCACCAAAUCUCAUCUUGAAUUGCAGCUCCCAUGAUCCCCACAUGUGGGAGGGACCCGGGGGGAGGUAACUGAAUCAUGGGGGUGGGAUUUUCCCAUGCUGUUCUCAUGA
This 1069-nucleotide long non-coding RNA is filed under the name Homo sapiens (human). RNAcentral's name for it is "ZNF528 antisense RNA 1". The record is from RNAcentral. Lineage: Eukaryota; Metazoa; Chordata; Mammalia; Primates; Hominidae.